UGUUUUAGCGUACGCUUCGCUGGGUGCCUCUGUUUUGGCGUUCACUCUGCCGAUAGUAGGCGGCGGCGGCUAUGGCCUAUGGGGGCGUGACCUUUUCUUCUAUUCUCAGAGGAGGGCGACGGUGUUCUUGCUGGCUGCGCGACGUAGGGCUGCAUGAAGGUAGGCGGGUGGAGCUCUCGAACGGCGGAUGUGGAUGAAGACAUCCUCAGCGGCGACGGGGAUCAGAUCCUCUCUCUCUGAAGCGGCGGCGGCGGCGGACGGACGCAUCCUCAGCAGCGCCGCAGAAUCAGGUCACGGCGCCCCUCUCUGUUCCUGAGUCUGCUCUUCUCGGUCCUCUCAUUAGAAUGGCGCACGGCGGGGGCUGGUCGAGGGAUCGCCCAGAACGUAGUGAACUGCCUGGAACAUGGCGAACUCCGGUGCCACCCUAUAGUCAACUUUGUUAGAAAUUUAGUUCCAACAAACGUUGGCGCUGAUCCACCCUUCAGACAUGCCCGCGUCAGUGGAAUACCUACCAUUGGGCAAGCAUGGCCAGCGACCUUCAACUCUUGCUAUGUAUGAACAUGAAACCUGAGACACGUGAGAGAAUUUUGAAAAGUGUUCCUUGCUUCAAAGAAUUCAGUGUUUCAUGUAUGCAAUGGUUCACUGUUAGUUCGUCAAUGGUUUUAUGUUUUACCCCUUUCCAGCUUUUUCUUUGUUUUCCAGCUAGAGAGGAAUGUCUAUGCUACUUGUUUUAAGAAUAUAUUUAUGCAAGCUUCUGAAUAAUGAAUUCAGAAUA
This is a long non-coding RNA of Triticum aestivum (bread wheat), 775 nucleotides long. RefSeq lists it as uncharacterized. The record is from RefSeq and is a predicted model, not a curated record. The transcript is spliced from 3 exons. Lineage: Eukaryota; Viridiplantae; Streptophyta; Magnoliopsida; Poales; Poaceae.